CUGGUUUGGAUGGUCUAGGGACCUUAGGGGAGGUCUCUUUAAAUAAGCACAAGGAUUGAAUUCUAUUCAAUCAUAUAAUACAAGUCCUACUUACAUUAGGUUUUUUAUUAACUUAAGUUAUCCAACUUACUUUAGGAGACCCUUUAGACGCCAACAAUUGGAGCCUUUGCACCCAUAAUUAGAAACCCCAAAACACACCCA
This 201-nucleotide long non-coding RNA is filed under the name Elaeis guineensis (African oil palm). RNAcentral's name for it is "long non-coding RNA (EGUI_LNC076599)". Lineage: Eukaryota; Viridiplantae; Streptophyta; Magnoliopsida; Arecales; Arecaceae. The record is from RNAcentral.